RNAcentral lists this microRNA (22 nucleotides) under Sarcophilus harrisii (Tasmanian devil). RNAcentral's name for it is "Sha-Novel-13_5p* (star (passenger))". Lineage: Eukaryota; Metazoa; Chordata; Mammalia; Dasyuromorphia; Dasyuridae. The record is from RNAcentral.
CAGGAGUACGUGUAGUCCCUCU